GCAAACUUGGUCAUUUAGAGGAAGUAAAAGUCGUAACAAGGUUUCCGUAGGUGAACCUGCGGAAGGAUCAUUACAAAAUCUUAAAGUCAGGGGUAACCGUGACUGCUGUCUGCAAGCACCCGGACUGGGUAUCCCCCAGCCACGGUGUUGACAGUUAACCCUUGUGAAAAUUCCCUUGUCGCUUUGACAGCACCUCCCGGCCUGCCGGGAGGAUCAGCCUGCCGACAGUACCUUAGGAAACCCUCUGUCCCGAAAGGAAGCAUUAAAUACGUCUGAAGGCGCAGUCGAAUGACACGUAAAACUUUCAACAACGGAUCUCUUGGUUCCCGCAUCGAUGAAGAACGCAGC
This 348-nucleotide unclassified non-coding RNA is filed under the name uncultured fungus. RNAcentral describes it as "partial contains small subunit ribosomal RNA, internal transcribed spacer 1, and 5.8S ribosomal RNA". The stretch from base 1 to 73 matches the Rfam family "Eukaryotic small subunit ribosomal RNA", at positions 1759 to 1831 of the family's 1831-position model. The record is from RNAcentral. Lineage: Eukaryota; Fungi.